Molecule: ribosomal RNA, 346 nt
Filed under: uncultured eukaryote
Lineage: Eukaryota
Description: SSU rRNA
Rfam family: Eukaryotic small subunit ribosomal RNA
Source: RNAcentral
AUAGCGUAUAUUAAAGUUGUUGCAGUUAAAAAGCUCGUAGUUGAACUUCAGACCUGGCUGGGCGGUCAGCUUAUCGGCUUGUACUGUCUGGCUGGGCCUUACUUCUUGGUGAGCUGGUGUGCCCUUUAUUGGGUGCGUUGGUGAACCAGGACCUUUACCUUGAGAAAAUUAGAGUGUUCAAAGCAGGCCUAUGCCCGAAUACAUUAGCAUGGAAUAAUAAAAUAGGACGUGCGGUUCUAUUUUGUUGGUUUCUAGAGUCGCCGUAAUGAUUAAUAGGGAUAGUUGGGGGCAUUGGUAUUGAGUCGCUAGAGGUGAAAUUCUUGGAUUGACUCAAGACCAACUAUUG